UAUAAGAGGUCCAACCUGCCCAGUGACUACAAGUUCAACGGCCGCGGUAUUUUGACCGUGCAAAGGUAGCGCAAUCACUUGUCCUUUAAAUAAGGACCUGUAUGAAUGGCUAAACGAGGGCUUAACUGUCUCCUUUUUCAAGUCAGUGAAAUUGAUUUAUCCGUGCAGAAGCGGAUAUACUUAUACAAGACGAGAAGACCCUUUGGAGCUUAAGGCAUAAAACUUAAUCACGUUAAAUAACUAAAUAAAAAGUAACUUUUAACCUUGUGAUACUGAGAUAAAUACCUUCGGUUGGGGCGACCAUGGAGAAAAAUAAAACCUCCAAAUGGAAUGGGGGAGCUCCCUAAAAUUAAGAGAGACAUCUCUAAACCACAGAACAUCUGACCAUUAAUGAUCCGGUAAAAACCGAUCAACGAACCAAGUUACCCAAGGGAUAACAGCGCAAUCCUCUCCCAGAGUCCAUAUCGACGAGGGGGUUUACGACCUCGAUGUUGGAUCAGGACAUCCUAAUGGUGCAGCCGCUAUUAAGGGUUCGUUUGUUCAACGAUUAAAGUCCUACGUGA
This 563-nucleotide ribosomal RNA is filed under the name Enteromius hulstaerti (butterfly barb). Its description in RNAcentral is "partial 16S ribosomal RNA". It matches the Rfam family "Bacterial large subunit ribosomal RNA", at positions 1844 to 2603 of the family's 2925-position model. Lineage: Eukaryota; Metazoa; Chordata; Actinopteri; Cypriniformes; Cyprinidae. The record is from RNAcentral.